CUACGGGAGGCAGCAGUGAGGAAUAUUGCACAAUGGGCGAAAGCCUGAUGCAGCAACGCCGCGUGAGGGACGAAGGCCUUCGGGUCGUAAACCUCUUUUCUGAGGGACGAGACAGGACGGUACCUCAGGAAUAAGUCUCGGCUAACUACGUGCCAGCAGCCGCGGUAAAACGUAGGAGGCGAGCGUUAUCCGGAUUUACUGGGCGUAAAGCGCACGCAGGCGGCUUCGUGAGUCGGAUGUGAAAGCUCCUGGCUUAACUGGGAGAGGCCAUUCGAUACUGCGGGGCUUGAGGUUGGGAGAGGGGUGUGGAAUUCCCGGUGUAGUGGUGGAAUGCGUAGAUAUCGGGAGGAACACCAGUGGCGAAGGCGGCACCCUGGCCCACACCUGACGCUGAGGUGCGAAAGCGUGGGUAGCAAACAGGAUUAGAUACCCCGGUAGU
RNAcentral lists this ribosomal RNA (439 nucleotides) under uncultured bacterium. RNAcentral's name for it is "bacterial SSU rRNA". It matches the Rfam family "Bacterial small subunit ribosomal RNA", at positions 339 to 794 of the family's 1533-position model. The record is from RNAcentral.